RNAcentral lists this ribosomal RNA (450 nucleotides) under uncultured Glomeromycotina. Its description in RNAcentral is "SSU rRNA". It matches the Rfam family "Eukaryotic small subunit ribosomal RNA", at positions 569 to 1025 of the family's 1831-position model. The record is from RNAcentral. Lineage: Eukaryota; Fungi; Glomeromycota.
AGCAGCCGCGGUAAUUCCAGCUCCAAUAGCGUAUAUUAAAGUUGUUGCAGUUAAAAAGCUCGUAGUUGAAUUUCGGGGUCAGUAGGUCGGUCGUGCCACUGGUAUGAACUGGUCUCACUGAUUCCUCCCUCUUGUAGAACCGUGAUGCCAUUAAUUUGGUGUUGCGGGGAAACAGGACUGUUACUUUGAAAAAUUAGAGUGUUUAAAGCAAGCUAACGCUUGAAUACAUUAGCAUGGAAUAAUGAAAUAGGACGUCGAUCUUAUUUUGUUGGUUUCUAGGGUUGACGUAAUGAUUAAUAGGGAUAGUUGGGGGCAUUAGUAUUCAAUUGUCAGAGGUGAAAUUCUUGGAUUUAUUGAAGACUAACUACUGCGAAAGCAUUUGCCAAGGAUGUUUUCAUUAAUCAAGAACGAAAGUUAGGGGAUCGAAGACGAUCAGAUACCGUCGUAGUC